UCUUGUACAAACUUAUCUUAUACAAACUGAUGUGACAUUAAUUCAUUGGUUGAAUGCAAAUAUAAAAUAAUAAAAAUAAAUCACGUGGGCCAAGAGAUAUUUAAUUCAACCAAUGAAUUAAUGCCACAUCCGUUUGUACAAAAUAAGUUUGUACAAAAAUUUGUGGUUAUAUCAUUACUCAUAUUUUUAUGUGGGGUAAAUAUCUAUGGGUGAGUUUUGGGAUAGACAUGAAAAAUAAAUUAUAAAACAGGGAUAUUUUUGACAUUAGCAGGUAAUUGACUUAAUUCAGAUUUCUCCAUUAAGUAAAAAGCCAAAAAAAUUAGCUUAUUUUAUUAAGUCAAAAUUAUCUAAAAAGUCUCAUUAAGUUAUAAAAACAAACACCUCUAAUUAACUUAAUUAAUUAAGUUAAGUCACUUUAAGUCAUUAAGUUAAAAAACAAACGCCACCUAACUCUUUUACCCAUUCUUCAUACAGCUUAGCAGUUUAUUAUUUUAUAUACGAUCUCUAGAUUUCUUUUAAGUUAACCCUUAAAAAAAAAUUGAAAAAUAAAAAAAAUAAAAAAAGAGAAAAAAAUGUGUGUUGCUACAUUUGUAAAUUGUAAAAUUAAAAAAAAGAAAAGAAAAAAAUGUGUGUUGCUACAUCUUGAGGUUCAUCUAACUAGUUUAUAUGGAAGAUUAUUUAGAGCCCUAAAAGACAAUGGAAAUGUCAUCUUUGACCCGUUUGAGCCUUUUUAGCCAUUCCUUUUGUGAAAAAUCCAUAGUUAAUCCUUUUGAGCCUUUAAAAAAAAAUUAUUAUUUGUUAACUUAUCAUCUUGACCUACUCCGAUUUGGAGUAUUACCCAAUAUCUUACAAGUUCCAUCACCUAUUUAUGUUUGAGAAAAAAGUAAAUAAUUAUUUUGUUCAGUGAAGUUGUGCCAAACAAAAGAAAAAAAAACAAAAAAAAAUUAUUGUUUCAAAAAUAAUAAUAAUAAUAAUAAUAAAUAAGCAAAAUACAUCUUGUAAUUUCCAAAAUAUCUAUAUUUUUUCUCAAACAUAUAUUUUAUUUUUUCCGAUUUUCCUUCAUUUGUCAGUCAUGUCCCUAGCCUACAUUACGUCCUAAUAAAAGUCUUUCUUGAUUUUAGGAAUCUAUAGUCUGAAGUAGAAGCUAGUUUUAUGGGCUAAAAAGAUGUAGUGGUGCAUAGAAAAAUAAAUAAAUAAAUUGUGUUGACUGGCAUUUUGUUUGACUUGAGAUCGUAUUAUUUCUAAGCUUAGGGCAUAUUUCUUUCAUCUUGGGGAGAGCGUGUGAUAUUACUUCUUUAUUAUUUUCUCUCAAUUACCAUUCAUUGGAGUGACUAUUUUUUGGGUUUAAUUUCUUUGUGAGAGUGUCACUACUACCAGUGAGAUUUUGAGGUUUGACAUGUCAUUCUUGAAAGCAGCUGUGACAAAGUCUACUGGGCUGAUUCAUGUGGAUGGUUGAUAUGGGUGUGAUGUUUCUAUAGACUGGAGAUAAUACUUAUACUUUUAUUUGAUUGCUAUUAUUAGUUUGAUUGUAUAAACACGAGUGUUUUAAAAAAAAUGGAUUUGAAUUUUAUUUUCGCUUUAUUUGCUAGGGACUAGCAAUAAGCUGGUUGGGGGGUGUGUUAAGUGAGUGAAAAGUGUAAAGAAAAUUGAAUGAACCGAACCAAAUCGAAAUAAAUUCAAUGAAACCAUUUGAAACAAUGUUUCGAACCUUUUUCCAUGAAUAAUACUCAGAGCUACUAAAAUAAUUGAAAUAAAAAGAAUUAAAACCACAAAAACAGUGCUUAGUUGUUAGAGCUAAUGGGUAUAUAAAUUAAAAAAAAAAAAAGUGAUAUUUUGUAAAAUUUCUCUCAGAAAAUUCACUUCCUAGAAGAAUUUUGAACAAAUUUUACAAACCUGCGGGUAUUUGGUGAGGAAAACAUUAAAAAAUGAAACAAAGUAAACAAAAUGCGGGAAACCAAACUUUAGUUGAAAGGUUUAAUAAAUAAUGCAUGAUACAGAAUUCAGUUUUUUUUUUUUUUUUUUGGUAUAGAGUUCCAAUUUAGAGUUUUUAUAUAUAAAAAAAAGAACGGAUUUAAUUUGAUUAUUAUUUUUCUUUACUAUAAAUAAUAAAGUCUUUUAGUUAAUUGGACAUGGAACUUAAAAGUUAAUGAAAAGGGAAAAUAAGCGUGCAAGACGAAGGUUUGAGCGAAGAACCUGAGAAGCUACGAAUGCACAUUCCACAACACCAGCAUCUCCUCUCAGCCCACGGAGGCAUGCAUCCGCAAAUUUAACCGCUGCAUAAGCCUAUACAUUAUAGAUGCUUUAUGAUUAAUUAUUGAAAAAAAAAAAAGAUCAUAUAGUCAUGAACAAAUUAAAAGAGUUCAUAGAAGAAUUGGCUGACCAUUGAGAGUGUUGCAGAGCCAGCCCCAGCUUUUGCCUGCAAAUGACAUGAGCUUUCUUAACUCAGACUUUGACUUAACCAAUGAAUUGCUACAAAAUGGCAUCCAACAAGUUUGAUGAAAACAGCAUGCAUCUAAUGCCCUAGCAAUGAGAAAUUUGAUAUCCCAUCUCUGCAUGUAAUGUGAGAAACAUAUAUCAGGGUGGCAUUACCUCAACAACUUCUGUUCCACCAUUUUGUAUGCGGUUCGUCAGGUAUUCAGUUUCUUCUUGAGUGAAGCUACAAGGAGGCUUAACCUGAGAAGAAUUUCAAGUGCAAUGAUCGUUGAAAUGCAGUUCAUAUUCCAUAAUAAUAACAGUAAUGCUAUGGAUCCCAGUAUUGCAACUUAUCUGUAUCUACCGCAUCAAGUUAGUUAACAUUAGUUAUUAGUAUUUAACAUGAUGUGAUAGUUACGGAUAAGCUGUCACAUUAGUUAAGACUCAAAAACUAGGAAAUUUAGCGUUAUUAGGUAUUGUAAUGAAAAAGUAUUUUAACGUUCACUUAAAAUUCUAGAAGACCUGUGAUAAAAGUGGCAAAAUUGUUACUCCAGCAUGACCUCCAACAACAGGAACAUCAACAUCCCUAGGAUCAAGUCCCAAAACUUCCGCCUGUAACAUGAUAUGAAAACUGCUGUACGGCCAAGGCGGAUGUACGGUACAGCAGAAAAUAUGUACUUUUACAUUUGUAUCCUUAUUAAAUUUGAAUGUCAAAUAAAUAAUAUAUUAAAUACCACAAUAUUUUAACAUUUAUAAGUAAAAUUAUAUUCAAGUGAAUACAUAAUUAUUUUGGAAUUUUAAUAUAUAAAAUACCAUAAAUUUCAAUUUUAUCGUAUAUAAUAUAAGAAAGAAAAAAUAUGGAUAUUUUUAUGUGGGGUAAAUAUCUAUGGGUGAGUUUUGGGAUAGACAUGAAAAAUAAAUUAUAAAACAGGGAUAUUUUUGACAUUAGCAGGUAAUUGACUUAAUUCAGAUUUCUCCAUUAAGUAAAAAGCCAAAAAAAUUAGCUUAUUUUAUUAAGUCAAAAUUAUCUAAAAAGUCUCAUUAAGUUAUAAAAACAAACACCUCUAAUUAACUUAAU
RNAcentral lists this long non-coding RNA (3490 nucleotides) under Citrus sinensis (sweet orange). RNAcentral's name for it is "long non-coding RNA (CSIN_LNC005172)". Lineage: Eukaryota; Viridiplantae; Streptophyta; Magnoliopsida; Sapindales; Rutaceae. The record is from RNAcentral.